ACGGGAGGCAGCAGUGGGGAAUAUUGGGCAAUGGGGGAAACCCUGACCCAGCAACGCCGCGUGAAGGAAGAAGGCUUUCGGGUUGUAAACUUCUUUUAAGAGGGACGAACACAAUGACGGUACCUCUUGAAUAAGCCACGGCUAACUACGUGCCAGCAGCCGCGGUAAUACGUAGGUGGCAGGCGUUAUCCGGAUUUACUGGGUGUAAAGGGCGCGUAGGCGGAGUGGCAAGUCAGAUGUGAAAUCUCUGGGCUUAACCCGGAAACUGCAUUUGAAACUGUCACCCUUGAGUGUCGGAGAGGUAGACGGAAUUCCUAGUGUAGCGGUGAAAUGCGUAGAUAUAAGGAAGAACACCAGUGGCGAAGGCGGUCUACUGGACAGUAACUGACGCUGAGGCGCGAAAGCGUGGGGAGCAAACAGGAUUAGAUACCCUGGUA
Molecule: ribosomal RNA, 437 nt
Filed under: uncultured Oscillospiraceae bacterium
Lineage: Bacteria; Bacillati; Bacillota; Clostridia; Eubacteriales; Oscillospiraceae
Description: partial 16S ribosomal RNA
Rfam family: Bacterial small subunit ribosomal RNA
Source: RNAcentral